This is a long non-coding RNA of Alexandromys fortis (reed vole), 1003 nucleotides long. RefSeq lists it as uncharacterized. Lineage: Eukaryota; Metazoa; Chordata; Mammalia; Rodentia; Cricetidae. The record is from RefSeq and is a predicted model, not a curated record. The transcript is spliced from 3 exons.
UAAAGAGAUUGUGAGUUACUGCAUUGUACACUUCUCCUGACAUGAAAGAUCUCAUUAAGUUGGAGCAAGCUGCUUCUCCCUUGGGAGUGGGCCUGGGGCCAAGGGAAACUGGUCCAGAGGCAUAUGUGAGGUUAAAGACGGCUCUGACACAUCUGCUCUCUGAGAAAUUUCCCCCGUGAGUGUGUGUUUUCAUUAGAAUAAAUGUGAAGUCUAUUUACCAACCUUUUUUCUAUAUAUUGAACUCAGAUUCCCAGUACAAGCCACCCCGUCUCCCACUUACUGUGUGCCAGUGCAUCAUGGGAGCACAGCACCACACUGUUAUCCUACGGGCAGAGCCAGCACAUCAAGGAUGCACCAGGUGUCUGCGCCUUCUGAGGUUCGAUGUGCAUGGAGAAUCAGCUAAUGCAUCCGUGAGGGCCCAGAGGAAGCCUGAGCCUGGAUACGCAGCCAGUCCAAGCAGCAGAGUGUCUACAGAGCUUCAGGAAGGCCUGGACCCUCUGCAACCAGUGAAAGCUUUAAGAAACAACAGGGGACAAAAUACAAGAGAAGGGGAGACUCACUAAGCCACCGAAGCUUAAUUGAUGGUGAGAGCUAUGUCUCGUCAUUCAGGAUCGCAUUUCAGGUAAGCACACAGUUCUUCAUUAAAGCUAAAUCAAUCCAGGGCCAGCAAGACAGCUCAACAGGUAGAGACGCUUGCCACCCAGCCUGCUGACCUGAGUCUCUGGAACCCACAUAGUAAAAAGGGAACCAAGUUCUGCGAAUUGUCCUCUGACCUUCACGAGUGUGCUACAUGUGGGUGCCCCAUAAUGUGGAGGGAUUUGAUCCCCACUAUGAUCUUUUUUUUUAAAAAAAAGAUAUUAUAGCCAGGUGAUGGGGAGGCAGAGGCAGGCAGAUCUCUGAGAUUGAGGCCAGCCUGGUCUACAGAGCUAGUCCCAAGACAGCAAGGGCUAUACAGAGAAACCCUGUCUCAAAAACCAAAACCAAAGUAAAAAAAAAAAAACAA